This 235-nucleotide long non-coding RNA is filed under the name Dermacentor andersoni. Its description in RNAcentral is "uncharacterized LOC126531386". Lineage: Eukaryota; Metazoa; Arthropoda; Arachnida; Ixodida; Ixodidae. The record is from RNAcentral.
CAAAGCAACAUGAACCGUCUGUUUGGAGUGGACCUUCUGGUGGUUGCCGCGAUCGUAAUUGCUUUGAUCGUCAUGGUUCCGAAUGAAGCUUCUUGCCUCGGCGGCGCUAUUGGAGGAAUCAAAGCUCCCGAUAUGUCGGGCAAGAAGUGAAUUAUUGCGCAUCCGGAAUCAAGCUAUUCCACCCCUUUCAUGCUCUGCAUGACCGCUACGCCUGCAAUAAAAUGCCUCUUCAAGA